Molecule: transfer RNA, 71 nt
Organism: Loxodonta africana (African savanna elephant)
Lineage: Eukaryota; Metazoa; Chordata; Mammalia; Proboscidea; Elephantidae
Rfam family: tRNA
About the family: Transfer RNA (tRNA) molecules are approximately 80 nucleotides in length.
Source: Rfam
GCAGUGGUCGUUCAGUGGUAGAAUUCUUGUCUUUCAUGCAGGAGACUCAGGUUCAAUUCCUGGCCAGUGCA